GAUGAACGCUGGCGGCAUGGCUAAGGCAUGCAAGUCGAAUGAUUAGUUUACUAAUCAUGGCAAACGGGAGAGUAACACAUUGGUAAUCUACCCUGGGGUCGAGAAUAACCCGGAGAAAUCCGGGAUAAUACUCGAUAAUAGUGGGGGGUCAAAUGACAUUCCCACUUAAAGUUACGGCGCCCCGGGAGGAGCCUAUGGCCUAUCAGCUUGUUGGUGAGGUAAAAGCUCACCAAGGCAAUGACGGGUAGCGGGUGUGAGAGCACGACCCGUCCCACUGGGACUGAGACACUGCCCAGACUCCUACGGGUGGCAG
RNAcentral lists this ribosomal RNA (313 nucleotides) under uncultured Parcubacteria group bacterium. RNAcentral describes it as "bacterial SSU rRNA". It matches the Rfam family "Bacterial small subunit ribosomal RNA", at positions 28 to 351 of the family's 1533-position model. The record is from RNAcentral.